RNAcentral lists this ribosomal RNA (445 nucleotides) under uncultured bacterium. RNAcentral's name for it is "partial 16S ribosomal RNA". It matches the Rfam family "Bacterial small subunit ribosomal RNA", at positions 331 to 792 of the family's 1533-position model. The record is from RNAcentral.
CCAGACUCCUACGGGAGGCAGCAGUGGGGAAUAUUGCACAAUGGGGGAAACCCUGAUGCAGCAACGCCGCGUGGGUGAAGGAGCGUUUCGGCGCGUAAAGCCCUGUCAGCGGGGAAGAAGAAAGACGGUACCUGACCAAGAAGCCCCGGCUAACUACGUGCCAGCAGCCGCGGUAAUACGUAGGGGGCGAGCGUUAUCCGGAAUUACUGGGUGUAAAGGGAGCGUAGACGGCGAGGUAAGCCUGAAGUGGAAGCCCGCGGCCCAACCGCGGAACUGCUCUGGAAACUGCGGCGCUGGAGUACGGGAGGGGCAGGCGGAAUUCCUGGUGUAGCGGUGAAAUGCGUAGAUAUCAGGAGGAACACCGGCGGCGAAGGCGGCCUGCUGGACCGUGACUGACGUUGAGGCUCGAGAGCGUGGGGAGCAAACAGGAUUAGAUACCCUCGUA